Molecule: long non-coding RNA, 588 nt
Organism: Poecile atricapillus (Black-capped chickadee)
Lineage: Eukaryota; Metazoa; Chordata; Aves; Passeriformes; Paridae
Exons: 3
Source: RefSeq, a predicted model, not a curated record
CCGGUGCCCGAGGGUGCCGCGGAACAGUGGAAAGAGAGUUACGGUGUUAUGGUGAUCGGCCGCAUAAACUGCGCUCUAGACGGCCUUAAAGGGUGAAAAAACCUGUCUUCGUAGUUGCCAGUGAUGAUGGAGCAGUGUCUCACCGAUGGAGGAGUCGUGGGAUGGCUCGUAAACGUGCGGGCGCCAGGGACGCUUUGGAGGGACUAGGAAGAUGAAAUCAAAAGGAAAAAAGGAGAAAGAUCCCCCCUGCAAAUCCAGAUCCCCCCUGCAAAUCCAUGCACCGGUUCAUCUGCUCGGCUGCUGCUGCUUGACGGAGGUUCAAAGCAGAAGUAACUGCCUAGCGAAGAACCAUGGAAACUCAUUAGCUGCAGAGACGAGCAGACGGCCCAAAGAGCAGAAGAGCGAGCACGCCGAUGUGAACCGUAUCGAGACCGCAGUUGACGGCUGAACGCCUUUGAUCCCGCAUGACAGAGCGAUGAACUUUGGGUUUCGUGUGAAAGAGUAGGAAAAUCGAUAUUGUAAGGCCUCAUUUGUUAAAGCGUGGUGUGAACUGUGUCAAGAUUCAGAAUCCUGCAUGAGAGAUAAAGU